Molecule: long non-coding RNA, 983 nt
Organism: Nicotiana attenuata
Lineage: Eukaryota; Viridiplantae; Streptophyta; Magnoliopsida; Solanales; Solanaceae
Exons: 2
Source: RefSeq, a predicted model, not a curated record
UCACACAGCGUCGACUUCUUACGGUUAUCAUCUAUUCUCAAAUCUCAUUCUACGUUCCCACAGAAAAUACACACCAUUGGAAUUGCAAUAGGCUUUACUGCCGACGGAAAUAGUCAAUACAUUUGCAUUUUCAAGUCAAAGCCUAAUGGAGCAAGUGCGUAUAUAGUUGGGUGUCCCUCUUGUUUUGAUUCAGUCAGUUAUAAGGAAGCAAAAGCUAUCUGGGAAGGCUUAAUUAAAAAAUUACUGCUGAAGAUGCUACAAAAUAAAAUUUUGUAGUAGAAAUUUUUUAUCAAUGACAUAUAAGAGAUGAUAAAGAGAUGAACGUGCAAAUCAACGAAUAUCAAAAAUUGCUAGAAGACUUGAAGGCCGAGGGGAUGUCAUUACCAGAUAAGUUUGCUGCUGGAGUGCUGAUUGAGAAGCUGCCUGACUCAUGGAGUGACUGCAAAAACAACUUAAAGCACAAACAGAAAAAUUUCACCAUUGAGGAAAUUGUGACCCACAUUUUAAUUGAAGAUUCCAACAGAAAAAUCCGCCAAAGCUAGGAUGACAGCUCUUAAAGUAAAUUUAGUGCAAAGCAGCAACAACAACCGCAAAAGGUACGAGAAUAAGUCUCAAGGUUACAACCCUAAAAAUCCUAACCUUAAAAGAAAAAAAAAGCUCUUGUUUUGUUUUUGAAAAACCAGGCCAUCAUGCCUCACAGUGCAGGUGCAGAGCAGGAAAUAACAAAGGAAAAACUAAUACUCCUAAGGCUAACUUAGUUGAAGGAGGUGAUAUUAUUGCUGCUGUCAUUUCUCAAGUAAACAUUGUAGCACAUGCAAAAGAAUGGGUGGUAGAUUCUGGGGCUACUCGGCACAUUUGUGCAAAUCGAGAAGCAUUUUACUCUUACACUCCUGUAGAGGAUGAUAGAGAAGAGGUCUACCUUGGAGACUCAAGUACUACCAAAGUCUUGGGUAAGAGUAAAGUUCUCCUGAAACUCACUUCGA